Kogia breviceps (pygmy sperm whale) is the source of this 952-nucleotide non-coding RNA. Lineage: Eukaryota; Metazoa; Chordata; Mammalia; Artiodactyla; Physeteridae. The record is from RefSeq and is a predicted model, not a curated record.
CGUGUUUUCAGAGUCCCUGCCAAGCCAGUUAUGGAUGGAUUUGCAUUUGGGUUGGGAAAUGAUUGGACCAGGUCAGUUCUGGUAGCUCCGCUUCCCCCUGGGUGAGGCAACAAGCCCCAAUAAAAAGGUCCUCUGCUGCACGACGGCUAUCCUCCUGCUCCUAGACUUCCGAUUGACAUUGGAGAACCUGGUGAGUCUGAUUCUUCAGUUCAACUUUGUUCUCAGAUCCCUGAAUGUUGAGUUUAUGCUGGAGACAGCAAGUUUGGUGGGUCCAAAGUUAUGAUCGAAUUCCUUCUUGUGAACACGGUCAUAUACUUUCUUUCAGAUAUUAAAGACUCCAGAAAGAUGUCUUCUCAACAUCAGCAGUGCAAGCAGCCCUGCCAGCCAACACCAGUGUGCCCACCUAAGUGCCCUGACCCUUGCCCACCUGGCAAGUGUCCGGAACCUUGCCCACCUAUAAAGUGCCCUGACCCAUGCCUGGUUCAGCAGUGCAAGCAGAAAUGCCCUCCUGGGCCACCUGCCCAUCAUUGCUAGCAGAAGUGCCCACCCAAGUGCAUGUAAGAGCUUGAGCUUUUAUCUGCAUCUGGAAAGGAUAAGGACAAUCGGCUCAACUAGUUCCAGAGCUCCACCUUCAUCUUCUCUUCAAAGCUUAUCAUGGAUACGGAAGAAGCUUCUCCGCCCUUCAGCCUCAAUAUGCGUGGGGGUGAUUCCUGACAGACGGAGGUUUCCUCUCGGAGGCUGCUGUACUGCUUCCUUCUGGGAGGUGCCCGAGAAAGCAUCCCAGAGCCUCAGAAGGAAGAGCAGCAGCUCUCCUCCUGGGCGCCCUCUGAGGAUUCUCUCGCUGUCUUCUGUGUCGGUCGCUCACCUGGGCAUGGGUUUCUACCAGCUGAGCAAUUGUUACUUAUCCUCCACUUCUUGAAUAAAAUACAAUUCUUCUGCGUGAUGGGAAAAA